GCCAGGCGUGGUGGUGCGCACCUGUAGUCCCAGCUACUCGGGAGGCUGAGGCAGAAGAAUCGCUUGAACCCAGGAGAUGGAAGUUGCAGUGAGCCGAGAUCUCACCACUGCACUCCAGCCUGGGUGACAGAGUGAGACUCUGUCUCAA
This 148-nucleotide non-coding RNA is filed under the name Gorilla gorilla gorilla (western lowland gorilla). Lineage: Eukaryota; Metazoa; Chordata; Mammalia; Primates; Hominidae. The record is from Rfam by way of RNAcentral.